AUACGUAGGGGGCGAGCGUUGUCCGGAAUUACUGGGCGUAAAGGGCGUGUAGGCGGCCUUUCAAGUCGGCUGUGAAAUACCCCGGCUCAACCGGGGGGGUGCAGUCGAAACUGGGGGGCUUGAGUGCAGGAGAGGAGGGUGGAAUUCCCGGUGGAGCGGUGAUAUGCGUAGAUAUCGGGAGGAACACCGGUGGCGAAGGCGACCUUCUGGCCUGUUACUGACGCUGAGGCGCGAAAGCCGGGGGAGCAAACAGGAUUAGAUACCCUGGUAGUCCCGGCCGUAAACGCUGGGUACUAGGUGUAGGGGGCUUUGAUGCCUUCUGUGCCGUAGUUAACGCAUUAAGCGCCCCGCCUGGGGAGUACGGCCGCAAGGCUAAA
This 377-nucleotide ribosomal RNA is filed under the name uncultured bacterium. Its description in RNAcentral is "partial 16S ribosomal RNA". It matches the Rfam family "Bacterial small subunit ribosomal RNA", at positions 523 to 898 of the family's 1533-position model. The record is from RNAcentral.